ACACAUAUUUGUGAUUUAGCAUCUACAUUUAAUAAUGUUAGAAAGGUUAAAUAUGUAAUAAUUAGAUUAUAAACUUUACCGUUUCGAGAGUGAGCGCAAUGAGUCCACUAUUCUGUGCUUCUGAAUGGCUGUAUUUAAAUUUCUGUUGUUUCGUCUGGUGCAAACAGCUAAAUUGCUUAUCACUGCAAAUUUUGUCACGUAGUAUGUUGUUACAAUGUAACCCGCUCACCUAAUGUUUAUGUUCGUAAUAUUUAUAUUAUUUGCUAAUUAAUAACCGGGCAGUGGGCAGGCUAAAAGAACCAAAACAAAGACAGCCAUUCAGGCACGUAAUGCAUAUUUCAAAGCAGAAUAUCUGACGUCAGCAUUGGUUUACAGAUAGACAUGAAUGUUCACUUAGCAUGUUUCUGAAAUAUCAGCAAACAUAUUUGCAUUUUUAUGCUUUAGAAGAGUCAAAAACUUACAUACAGCUCCUUUUUAAUCGAUGUGUAUUAGGACAACAUGAAGGAAUUGUGUGGAACCUAACAUUUUUUUACAUUGUAUUGUCAACAUAGCACAACUGAAUGCAAAGUAUCAAAACGAUGCCACAUAUUAUGGCUUUUGGUUGUAACUUUCAUAUAAACGACAGCAAAAAGUGAAGCAAUGUAUGUCUUUACAGUUCACCUAUAGUAAUAGAGAAAAAGAUGAGAAAUGAUUUAUUGAAGGAGUGCACUGGUGGAGAUAGAUAUAAGUGUACAUUUAAACCAUCAGUGUAAGGAAAAUGGUCAGUGUAUCUGGCGCAGGGUCUGAAAGUGUUGUGCUUAUUCUCUCUAUGAGUUAUAAAAUGUGUUUUCUGUGUAACUGGCAUUAAACCAAUCAGAGUCGUAUCUCUCAUUCCCUUUAAGAGUGAUUUGCUGUAGCGUCAUUGCGCAUUCGUUAUUUACCUGGCAGAUUUCGUAAACAGAAUGCUUCACUAAAAAAGGAAAUAAAGGUUAAAAUGCACGAACAGACCACCUACUAAAUAUUCGACCAAAGCUCCCCAAGGCAUAGUUUUUUUAUGUUAACAAUAAUAAUCUUUUAUAUUUUAAUAUUUUAUUUAUUUUUUAAAUUUAAAGAUGUUUGAGUGUCCCUGUGUGUAAUCAGUAACGUGUAGGCUUGAUGUGGAGCUUCGUACGCUGAAAGAAAGGAUUUUUCCACGAUUGUUGUAAACAAUUUAUGUGGGUUGAAUUUAAAAAAACAAAUUAAAUGUAGUAAUGCCCGUCGAUCGGGUUGUCGUGGUCCUAACCUUCGACCACCACCCCUUCCACAGUGCACCAUUCCCUUACAACUCCCCCAGUGGCUGGUGGGCCCGCAGGAAGGAGGAUGAUCCCACGUCGCUCCUUCGGGCUAAGCCUUGCCAUGUUCCGUGGGAAAAAAAACAGGCCACCAGGCACUUGCAUACGAGCCCAAACUCCAGGAUGGGGCCCCAGCUGUGCAAUACCGGGCGACGCCACCGUACUCCAUGUUAUUAAGUUCACAAGGGGUUUUUGGACCACACUUAGUCGGACAUGUUACCUAAGACUUUUGUGCCUUGUGCCUUUGUGCUCUUAGGAUCACUCAGGCACUCAAAACCCCUCCACCAUGAUAAGGUGGUGGUAAGUCCGAGGCCAUGGUGCUCCACCAGAAAAAAGUGGUUUGCCAUCUCCAGGUUUGAGGAUAGUCCUUACCCCAGAUGGAGGAGUUUAAGUAUCCUGGGGUUUUGUUUAUGAGUGAAGGAAGGAUGAAGCGUGAGAUUGACAAGCGGAUUGGUGCAGCGGCAGCAGUAAUGCGGUCGAUGUACCUGUCCGUUGUGGUGAAGAAGGAGCUGAGCCAAAUGGCAAAGCUCUCGAUUUACCAGUCAAUCUACGUUCCUAUGGUCAUGAGCUUUGGGUCAUGACCGAAAGGUCAAGAUCUCAAUACAAGUGGCUGAAAUUAGUUUCCUUCGCAGGGUGGAAGGGUGCAUCCUUAUAGACAGGGUGAGGUGUUCUGUCACCCGAGAGGAACCUUAAAGUAGAGCCACUGCUCCUUCACAUCAAGAGCAGUCAGCUGGAGAAAUCUGGAGUUCUCUCCUGAGACUGCUGCCCCCACGACCCGGCCCUGGCCCUGAUGAUGUUGAUCGUGAUGAAUGUAGUAAUGUUUAACUUAAUUUAGUUGUUUUAUUUCAGCCCAAAUAAAUUGUUUUCAACCACUUAAUUUUUUUUAGUAAAUCCGAGGAAUCAUCUUUGAACCAUUUUCUUCAGUGUACAGGUACAUAUCACUUCACACUCUCUUUAAAUAACAACAAAAACCUGUGGCGUUGACUUUAAACCAGCUUUUAGUUGUUCAUUGGCAUGAUCUAUUUCAGCUGCCUCAAAACAGCAAGGCACUAACAAAGUGCUGUAAGCCCUUAACGCACCUCCUUUUCAGGACAGAAUGUCCAUGAGCGCACAAAUGGGUGCAAAUGCAUUUGCUAUUUGAACAGAAUCUUAUACCUGUGGCUGGAUGAAAAUCUAAAAAAAAGAGUCUGUAUUGCACCAGAUUUAUGAAAGGGUGCAAAGAGUCUAAAUGCUCUCUGAUAUUGAAUACGAUUCACACAGAGAAUUGACAGGAGGUGAACAUUCAAUUAUUUGUAAGUCACUGAAACAGAAAGUUCUAGCUUGUUCAUGGAGAGAUUAGUCGUCGAGACUGGUCAGUUUCCCUUUGGUCAAUAAGUGUCCAGUUUUCAAUGCAUGAUUAAUGCAGCCAUGAAGACGAAUGUUAAUAAGUGUCAGCAUGUUUAUUGUCUACUGUAGGAGUGCCUAAGCUUAGUCCUGGAGAACCGGUCUUCUGCAGCUCCUAGCUCCAACUUCCUCUCUGUCAUAUUUAAUUUCCUACUUCAUUCGAGAAGCAGUAGCAGGAUCAUCUGCUGUUUGUGAGUUUUUCAUGUAGAGAAAUCUCCUCAGGUCUUUGGAUAAUUAUGCAUUCAGACGUUAAUGUCCAAACACUUCUUUUUAAAAGUUUAAGCUGUUGUUGCAGAUGAAAUCUAACACAAAAAUGUGAUUGAAAGAUGUUACAGUAGGCUAGAUAUUAAUUAACAGUAGUACAAACAUUUUUACCGUAGACUCUCUACUUGACGGUUGAUCUAUAUCAGACGCCAUGUUUGUAGUUUAUUUACACAUUUCACUUGUGUUUGUCGUUCUUAUAGAAUUCACAUCCAAUGCUCAAUUGUAGGAAAUAUUAGCGGUUAGAGCGGGGGUUACCAAACUCGGUCCUAGAGGGCCGUUGUCCCUCCAAGGUUUAGCUCUAACUUGCCUUAACACACCUGCCUGGAUGUUUCAAGUAUACCUAGUAAGACCUUGAUUAGCUUGUUCAGAUGGGUUUGAUUAGGGUUGGAGCUAAAAUCUGCAGGACACCGGCCCUCCAGGAACAAGUUUGGUGACCCCUGGGUUAGAGUAUUAUCAACUUAAGAGUUGCAUCAACUGCCAAAGUUCAGUUCCAAAACUCAACCCGCAAGAACAGAAGAUGCGUAAAAGGUUCCCGGAUUUGUUCUUGGUAUCAAGGAUGCACCGUUGCAGACUUGAUCACUGAACUCACUUAAGAAGUUCCUGAAGUUAUUGCAAAAUAUUAAAAUCUGUUUUAUUUUUAUCCAAGAUGACCUAGCAAGACCGGUGUUUACAAGAACGCAAGUCUGUUCUCUGUGUUCUUGGAAUUGUGAAACAAGUUUGAGUUUCUACCGAAAAUAGUAAACCAUCCAGGAACCUUGGCUAACUCUUCUCAACAUACUACAAUUUAGAACAUACAGACUUUUUCUACUGACUAUUUAGGACAGAAUAGGGCACAGAACAUCAGCCCUCCAGGAUCUGGGAUUUUGGCAUCCCAUCCUAGCGUUUUAUUUAUUUUUUUUCUCUGUCAUUUUUUUAACAGGGUUUUUCACUUGUUAUCUAGAAGCAUUCAACAUUAUAACAAAGUUGAUAGUAAAAAGACUGAAAAUUUAAAAAAAAAAUAUAUAUAUAUAUUGACUGAAAAUGGAAAUCAAUAGGGGUACAAUGUUUCAUCGUAUCAGUAUUUUACUUUCAGAGUUGUUAAAAUAGCAGCAAGCAGAAGCCCACGCAGUGGAUCUAUUUGACGUAACACACUGCGCACCUAAAAAAAUAAUAGCUACCCCCAUAGUCCACAGUAAAUGUGGUAUGUAUUUUGUAUUUUUAUAACGUAAAUCUUCGAUUGGGCAAUUUAGUCAUACACCAAUGUUAAAACAGCUGUCAUAACAGUAUUUAUCAAUUUGUGGCUCUUUUUGUAUUCUCUGAAGUUGUAUUCUCUAGAAAUUAAAAAUGUCAAACAGGAAAUAUGUUGGGACCAUUGUUUUUGUUUACAUCCCUCAAAAUGGUCUAUUGCGUCUUGAUACAUUAAAGGUAAUGUUAAAAUAACUUGUAUAGUUAAUUUGAUUAAACUUUUUUUUCACAAAUGUGGAACGGCCUUAAACAUUAUAAAGUUACUACAAAAUUGAUGGUAAUUAAGACCAGCAUACCUUUGACUAAAAAAUAAAAACCAAGAGCGGCACAAUGUGGCAUCUUAUCAGUAUUUUACUUCCAAAGUUGUUAAAUCAGCAGCAGGCAGUGGCUCACCCAGUGAAUCUAUUUGACGUAACACACUGCCCACCUACAAUAAUGGCGAGUCCCAUAGUCCACAAUAAAUGUUGUAUGUAUUUUGGUUUUUCAUUGCAAAAACCUUUAUUGGGUUUCAACUUGAUAUUUCAUUAAGAGACAUCAGUUAUGCUAUAGAACCAUUUUAAUUUGGCCAUCUCAGUAGCCCAUGAACAUUUCCUGCUUGUUAUCAAACUAUUUCAUAACUGUAAGAAGAGGCAAUAUAAUCAUAACUUAAUGUUAAAACCACUUGCAUAACAUUAUUUAUCAAUAUGUGGCUCUUUUUGGACCAUUGCUUUUGUUCACAUGCCUCAAAAUUGUCUAUAUUAAGUUAAACAAGUCUUGAUACAUUAAAGGUAAUGUUGAAAUAACUUGUAUAGUUAAUUUGAGUCAACUUUUCAUACAAAUGGGGACCAGAAGCAGCCUUUUCUUUCUUCAAAAUAUAAUUUUAAAUUCAACAAUUCAUACAGGUUUGGAAAAACUUGAAGGUGAAUAAAUAAAAUGAUCAUUUUCAGGUGAACUGUGCCUUUAAAUGUGUUUUGCCUGUUACAAUGCAUGUACAGAAGACUUUUUGUAAAUUUACAGGACAAAUACAUUGUGGCUAUUGAACAGACAAAAUGAAUCACAAUAAAGCAAAUUUAACCAAGAA
This is a non-coding RNA of Danio rerio (zebrafish), 5241 nucleotides long. The record is from RefSeq and is a predicted model, not a curated record. Lineage: Eukaryota; Metazoa; Chordata; Actinopteri; Cypriniformes; Danionidae.